GGCACUUUCUCAGUACUUAGUUCACACUUUCAAAUGUACAAGUUUUAGAGCAGAUGUAAGAGCAGCCUAACACGCAUUCCAUUACUCUUGACAGAUGAAAUGCAGCAUCAUUUUGGUAGGUUUAAGAAAUGGAAAUGGAACAACAACUGAGGUCUGUAUUGUGAUGGCAUCACCUUUGAUAUUGUAACUUUGGAGCAUGGCUAUAUUUGGAGAAAAUGCGAGGUCCUUCUCCCACAAGAUGAUGAUGACAACUACUGCCUCUCACUGGUGGAGACGGUGUAUUGCACUACUUAAAACAGCCUUAAAUAAUGUUUCAAAAGCAAAGCUCAUAAGUCCUUUGUAGACAUCUUGCUGUAAAACUUUAGGAUCAAUUAAAUUAAGAAAUUUAAGACUAAACAACAUGGCAGAGCAAUACAAUAUUACCACAUAAAGCUACAUAAUUUUUAAAGUUAAUUUGUAAUACUUUCAUAACAAAUUUAUGUUAGAUCCAUAAUCUCUUGGUUAAUGUCAAGUUCUCAUAACAAAGACAUUUUGAACUUUGUAUUAACAGUAUCAAGAUUUACCAAAUGACACUUUAUGACAACAGUCAUAAAUAUAUAUGAAAACUUAAAUAUUUUGUCUAAUAUAAACUUAGUCUUCAUAAAUAUGAAUCAUAAACAUACAUAAAAUCAUAAAUAUAAAUAUUUAUGACUGGUGUUGUGUCACGUUUAUGAAAGUGUCAUGUCAGGCUUAUUCACAUCCCGUCAAAUAAAGUGAUAACCAAAGGGCAAAGAAAAGCCCAACGUAAUCAGUUCUCAGCUGACAUAACUGUAAUUAUUAUGCUUAUGUGCACCGCAAGAUACAAUCUGUAAAUCUGAUGAGAUACUACACUGCAGCAGUGUAGUUUAAGUUUUUCCUAAUUUCUUUUGCUUUCUCAUUUUCUUUUGAACAGAACACCAAAACAAUAUGAAGAAAAUGGAAAACUGACUGCAGAUACAUAAAAAACAAAUAUGGAACGCAAAAGGGACAAAAUGGAAGGGCAAAAGCAACUCAUGAGCCAAGAAGCUGAAGAUGUCAAGCAUUCUUGGGAAAAUAUGAGAAGAGAGAAAGGUAGACUCAAAUAUUUCAAGAAAAAAGUGAGGCCUGACAUGGAAAGAGUAAUUUUUGAACCAGAUGAAAUCAGAGAAAUGUUGCAUAUGAUUAGAGAAGACACAAAACUUUGCAAGAAACACUUGUUUGAAGAAAAGACCCAAAUGAAAUGGGUGAGUUUUCAGGCUGAGAAAAGGAGAAAAAAGCUUGACCAGAAGUUGGAGAAAAUAAUUCAAGAAGGUGAUCAGUUAGACAUUCUGAAGAAAAAAAUGGACCAGCAAAGACAAGAGACUGAAAAAAAAAGUAAAGAAAUAUUGACUUUACUUUUGAUUUCAGAAAAAAUAAAAUUUAAUUUAGAAAAAACUACUGAAGAAAUUAGAAGCACAAACGAGGAAAUGCUCAAAACCCAACAGAAGAUCAAAAAGAGCAAUGAACUCAAAUCAUACAUGGACAGGCUGACAUGCAUAAAGAACCAGAUCAACGAAUGGAAAUUGUCACAGCCUCCAGUUACUUCCGGACUUCUGAAAGAAAAACUUGAUGGCACCCAUAGAGAAGUAAGAUCAGAAAUUCUGACUGACAAAGCAAAAAAAUCAGCUGCAGAAAAAAAUCCUUUGGAGAACAUUCGAACAUCAGAAGGUUAUGUAAUUGAAGAAAAGACAGAAAACCAUGAGAAAUUUUCAAAACAUAUUGGUCAGAGAGAAUCAUUUUCACAAGAAAUACCGGCAUUGGAAAAGCAGAUAUAUAUGCUAAAUGAGCAAGAGGAAGUCUUAAAGGUGCAAAUCAAAACAAAUAUUAGAAAAUUGCAAGAUAAAGCUCUAAAAAUGAGAAGUAUUGUCACAGAAUUAGAUGAACUACAGUGUCAGAAGGAAGACGCUGAAGUUAUAAUCAGGGAAAUGGGGACUGUAGAAAGUAAACUGCUGCAAGACGUACAACUGAGGGAUCAUCUGAUGAAGAGAACAAAUGUUUUUAAGAAACAAAUAAUGCAGACUGACUUGAAAGAUCAGACAAAAACUACUAAUGUUGAGCAAAAGCUUGACAAAGUGGAAAAAUGGAAGGAUCCCCAGGCACUUGCUAAAGAGACACAAGUAUGUUCUGAUGGAAAGUAUCUUCAACUUACAGAUUUACAAAGACUCUGGGCUAGGAUAUAUCAAACUCAGCAAGUCUUGAAAUUGAUCAAACCAGAAAUUGGGUGCCAAUAUGGAACAGGUAAUGAGACCAAAGACCUUAUUGAUAAUGAAAUCAAGGGACUACUGCAGGAUCUCAGACAGUUUCAGAAGCUUUUGGAAAUGGAAGUGGGGCAGAAGAGACUGAAUCUCAAUGUAGAUACAUGCAGUCAGAAAAGUACAAUGACGAAAAAGAGAAGAGAACUGGAUCUUAAAUUGGAGAAUAUCUUACGAGAGAGGGAUGAAUUAGAAAUGCUAAAAACACAAAUACAAAGAAAAUCUGAAGGGAAUCAGCGGCAGUUGGAAAAGAUUCGAAAAUGUCAAAAUGACAUUGAAAAAAUAGCUGGUAAGGCCAAAGAGAGAAGCAAAGUAAUAAUGUGUAAUAUGAAGAAGAGUGAUGCUAAAGUAAGAAUGAUUGAAGAUUUAAACAAGAAGAUUGAAGCUUCAAAACAACGCUGGAACGAAAUCUACCUUUUAACCUCUCAGCAUAAAGCUUUAACUGAAAAACUAAAGACUGAACUUGGACAUGAAAACGAAAGAGAAUCUCUAUUUGAAAGAGAAAACAGAAAAAGAUCUGAGAAAUUGGCAAGGGACAAACCAUUCACAAGUACAAAAGCAACACAAGCUGAAGAAACAUCCGAAGAUUUCUUAGUGCUCACACCACAUCAAGAAAGACUGAUUGAGAAAAUAAAGCUGAUAAUGAAUCAAUUUAAUUAUAGGAAAUGUAAAAGAGAGGAGCAAAACCUAGAACUAAGUGAAACAGUGAUACAAGACAUAUUAAGAAAAGUAAGUGAGAUGUUGGCACAAGAAACUGGAACUGAGGGACAGAAUGGAAAACUGUCACAAAUGAAAAUUGAACAUAAUAAAAAGGCUUUGUUAAGUGAAACAAAUGAAAGACAAAAACAGCAUAUGACUGAAGGGCAGGACAGCAUUAAAUGGACAAGAGAAAUAGCAGAAAUAGAGGUGCUGAAUACCGAGCUGGAAAUCAAAAGAAAAGAAAAUAAUGCCAUUUUUAAAAAAAUGGUGAGAGAAGGGGAAAAGAAUGAAAGAAUGAUGAAUGAAAUAAAAGAAGCAAAGAUAUCAUUUAAGAGGGAGGUACAAAGAAAGAGAAGAGAACUAGACCAAAGACUGGAGAAAAUCAGAAGAGAGCAGGAUGAAUUAGAGAUGUUAAAAUUAAAACUGAAACAACCAAGGGCAGCAAUGUUCCAUGACAACCAAAAUACACAAGACCAGAGGACAGUUGUCUGCGUUUCGAGUGAAAAUGAACCAAAGGAUUUGGAAAAGAAUGGGUGGAAAAUCACAAACACAAAAUAUGAAAUGUUACACAAAUUUCCAGGACUUAUAAGUACCAUCAACGAUAUUCGAGACCUCGGAGUAAAGAUCUAUGGCUAUUUAGAAACAGUUAAAAGUGAAAUAUGUCAAUUUCUCAAGCAACAAAAUGUUGGUUUAGACAAAAAGAGAAAUGAAGUCAAAGCAUUAACAGUUGAGAACAACUCAGUAAAAGAAAACAUAACCAGAAUCAAAUCCUUGAUAGGAAUGGAUAAAAUGACCAAACAAGCUACAAGGGAUGUGGAUGAAACAUGGAAACAAAGGAAGGUUACGCAUAAGCAGGAGUUAAGGAUCGCAUCGUUGACAACUAAACAAACAGCACAAAAGCGAAAAGCAUUAAUAACUGAAAUGAUGUCUGACGAAACAAGAAAAAAGAAACUGAAAAAAAGAAAGGAUGCUAAAGACCCAUUGGGGGAAAUCAAUAAAAAGAAAACGACUGACAAUCUGGAAAAACAUGUGAAAACAAACAUGGAAACUCUUCAAGUACUGAUGAAAAAGAUAACUUUGAAGAACAGAAAAAAAAGAACAGAGUUACAUAAAAUUAAAGCAACUCAGGAAUCUCUUUCAAACAUGUGUAUAAAAUUAGAAGACAAUAGCGUGAAAAUGGUGAAACUGAUAGACAUUAUAAAAAAUAUAAAAGAAAGAAUAUUACGACAUGAAAAUCAACUCACUGCAACAAGAAAAAACAAGGUGGAAUUACCAAAGACAGAAAUAAACCAGAAAUCAAAAGAAGCUAACAGCUCAUUGGCAGAGACCUACAAAGAGAAAAUCAAGCAGGAUAUUGAGACACAACGCGCAAAUCUGCAACAAGAAAAACAAGAUAUUCAAGAAGAAAGAGAGAGAAUAAACAUCACAAAGGCUGAACUAGACCAGAAGGCAGAAGAAGCCAGCAGUUGCUUGGCAGAGAUCGACAAAGAGAAACUCAAACUUAGACAUUUGUCGGUUUCAGUCCAAAGAAAUCAUGAAAGACUCCAUGACAUCAUGAACACGACUGCCCUAAAACGACAAGGCAGAGAACGGAAAGAUCACCUGUUCCAAACGCAAACACAGGAACUACAAUCUAAAAGACUUCUACUACAGAAAGAAAAGGAAGAGAUGCAACGUUUGAUGACAACUGUUAGUCAGAUGAGAGAGUGGAUUAAAGCUGCAAUGAUCACCACCCAAAAGGAAAAGCAACAAGUGGAUUAUAUGAGGACGCACAAGCCAGAAGAAGAAAUGCUUUCAAUACAGAAUAUAGAACUUGAGAGAGAGAGGCCUGGGUUGACACCAAGUGGCUUGGAUAAAAGUCAAAUAACAGAACGUCACCAAGGACAGAUCCAAUACAUAAAAGAGAAACUAAGUGAAAACAUUCAAGUGAAAAUGGCCCGGAUACAACAAAGGAUUGCAGGUGUAGAAAACCUCUCUGUUGGUUUGGGACAGAAGCUUCUUUGUCUUACUGAACAGAAGGAAAAUGUGGCUGGUUAUAAAGAGGUAUUUGAAAGAGAAAAGGGAAUUCUCAGUGGUCUCCUUUGUGAUACACUAAAACAAAGAGAAGAUAUGGACAACCGUUGGAAGCAAACAAUCAACUGGGAAAAAGAAAAAGUUACUUCUCUUGAAGCAACCCUGAAAAAAGAAAAGCAGGAUCUGGAAGUAGAGAAACAAAAGAUGUUGAAAGACAAACUGGUCCUAGAGCUGAUUAGGAAUGGCAUCCAGAAACAAAGUGAAAUAUUACAGCAAGACAAGCAAGACAUUCAACAACAUAAGCAAGAGUUGGAAAGCACAAUGGUGGAACUGCACAAGAAGACAGAAGAAACCAAGAAUCUCUUUGAUGGAGUCAACAAAGAGAAAUCUAAGCUCAAAGGUCUUAACCUCAGUCUGAAAACACAAGGCGAUCAACUGAAGGCUCUCAUGAAAGCAAUCAGUUCAAAACCGCAAGAACAAGAAGAAAAAGGCCCAGAAAUUCUCACACAAACACAAAAUCUGGAACUCUGUCGGAAGAAAUUACAGGAGAAAAGACAAGAGCUGGAGGCUUGGAUGAAGAAUGCUAACAGCAUGAAGGAAAAGGUUAAAGAUUCCAGGAGCAGUGUCCAUAAAGACAUAGAACAAAUCAUUUCCAUGAAGAAGAACAUUGGAAAAGACAGAGAGAAACUGUCAAGUGAGAAGGAGCGCCUGGAAAGAGAAUUGUCAGAGUGCAAAAUGAGACAAGAUGAACUCUUGGAUGUAAUGAAGCCAACAGCAAACCUAAGACUAAGACUUGAAGGAGUACAGGACAAAGCGUGUGACUUGACCAAUGUUAAAAUGAGAAGAUUACACAAAGGUCAUAAAGACACACAGUUAUUAUGUAUUUCAGUGGAGAAAAGUCUUUCGUCUAUUGGUGACCAGAUGAAAACACUAACUCCUUACAAAGAGGUAGUUGAAAGAGAAAAGGUCAAUCUAACAUCCAUCAUUUCUUCCUUGAGGAAUCAGAGAGAAGUGAUGGGACAUCAAUGGAAACAAAUGGUGGACAGGGAUAUAAAAGAUCUAAACAAAACGAAGGAAGAACUGAAACGGGAAACACACAAUCUGGAAAGAGCGGCUGACAAAGUAGACAAAGAAAAAGAGGCCUUGGAAGUGUUGAUGUCCAAUAUCCAGACAGAGCGUGUAAUACUGCAACAAGAAAAACAAGAUAUUCAAGAAGAAAGAGAGAGAAUAAACAUCACAAAGGCUGAACUAGACCAGAAGGCAGAAGAAGCCAGCAGUUGCUUGGCAGAGAUCGACAAAGAGAAACUCAAACUUAGACAUUUGUCGGUUUCAGUCCAAAGAAAUCAUGAAAGACUCCAUGACAUCAUGAACACGACUGCCCUAAAACGACAAGGCAGAGAACGGAAAGAUCACCUGUUCCAAACGCAAGCACAGGAACUACAAUCUAAAAGACUUCUACUACAGAAAGAAAAGGAAGAGAUGCAACGUUUGAUGACAACUGUUAGUCAGAUGAGAGACUGGAUUAAAGCUGCAAUGAUCACCACCCAAAAGGAAAAGCAACAAGUGGAUUAUAUGAGGACGCACAAGCCAGAAGAAGAAAUGCUUUCAAUACAGAAUAUAGAACUUGAGAGAGAGAGGCCUGGGUUGACACCAAGUGGCUUGGAUAAAAGUCAAAUAACAGAACGUCACCAAGGACAGAUCCAAUACAUAAAAGAGAAACUAAGUGAAAACAUUCAAGUGAAAAUGGCCCGGAUACAACAAAGGAUUGCAGGUGUAGAAAACCUCUCUGUUGGUUUGGGACAGAAGCUUCUUUGUCUUACUGAACAGAAGGAAAAUGUGGCUGGUUAUAAAGAGGUAUUUGAAAGAGAAAAGGGAAUUCUCAAUGGUCUCCUUUGUGAUACACUAAAACAAAGAGAAGAUAUGGACAACCGUUGGAAGCAAACAAUCAACUGGGAAAAAGAAAAAGUUACUUCUCUUGAAGCAACCCUGAAAAAGAAAAAAGCAGGAUCUGGAAGUAGAGAAACAAAAGAUGUUGAAAGACAAACUGGUCCUAGAGCUGAUUAGGAAUGGCAUCCAGAAACAAAGUGAAAUAUUACAGCAAGACAAGCAAGACAUUCAACAACAUAAGCAAGAGUUGGAAAGCACAAUGGUGGAACUGCACAAGAAGACAGAAGAAACCAAGAAUCUCUUUGAUGGAGUCAACAAAGAGAAAUCUAAGCUCAAAGGUCUUAACCUCAGUCUGAAAACACAAGGCGAUCAACUGAAGGCUCUCAUGAAAGCAAUCAGUUCAAAACCGCAAGAACAAGAAGAAAAAGAAAUUCUCACACAAACACAAAAUCUGGAACUCUGUCGGAAGAAAUUACAGGAGAAAAGACAAGAGCUGGAGGCUUGGAUGAAGAAUGCUAACAGCAUGAAGGAAAAGGUUAAAGAUUCCAGGAGCAGUGUCCAUAAAGACAUAGAACAAAUCAUUUCCAUGAAGAAGAACAUUGGAAAAGACAGAGAGAAACUGUCAAGUGAGAAGGAGCGCCUGGAAAGAGAAUUGUCAGAGUGCAAAAUGAGACAAGAUGAACUCUUGGAUGUAAUGAAGCCAACAGCAAACCUAAGACUAAGACUUGAAGGAGUAAGGACAAAGCGUGUGACUUGACCAAUGUUAAAAUGAGAAGAUUACACAAAGGUCAUAAAGACACACAGUUAUUAUGUAUUUCAGUGGAGAAAAGUUCCGUCUAUUGGUGACCAGAUGAAAACACUAACUCCUUACAAAGAGGUAGUUGAAAGAGAAAAGGUCAAUCUAACAUCCAUCAUUUCUUCCUUGAGGAAUCAGAGAGAAGUGAUGGGACAUCAAUGGAAACAAAUGGUGGACAGGGAUAUAAAAGAUCUAAACAAAACGAAGGAAGAACUGAAACGGAAACACACAAUCUGGAAAGAGCGGCUGACAAAGUAGACAAAGAAAAAGAGGCCUUGGAAGUGUUGAUGUCCAAUAUCCAGACAGAGCGUGUAAUACUGCAACAAGAAAAACAAGAUAUUCAAGAAGAAAGAGAGAGAAUAAACAUCACAAAGGCUGAACUAGACCAGAAGGCAGAAGAAGCCAGCAGUUGCUUGGCAGAGAUCGACAAAGAGAAACUCAAACUUAGACAUUUGUCGGUUUCAGUCCAAAGAAAUCAUGAAAGACUCCAUGACAUCAUGAACACGACUGCCCUAAAACGACAAGGCAGAGAACGGAAAGAUCACCUGUUCCAAACGCAAGCACAGGAACUACAAUCUAAAAGACUUCUACUACAGAAAGAAAAGGAAGAGAUGCAACGUUUGAUGACAACUGUUAGUCAGAUGAGAGAGUGGAUUAAAGCUGCAAUGAUCACCACCCAAAAGGAAAAGCAACAAGUGGAUUAUAUGAGGACGCACAAGCCAGAAGAAGAAAUGCUUUCAAUACAGAAUAUAGAACUUGAGAGAGAGAGGCCUGGGUUGACACCAAGUGGCUUGGAUAAAAGUCAAAUAACAGAACGUCACCAAGGACAGAUCCAAUACAUAAAAGAGAAACUAAGUGAAAACAUUCAAGUGAAAAUGGCCCGGAUACAACAAAGGAUUGCAGGUGUAGAAAACCUCUCUGUUGGUUUGGCACAGAAGCUUCUUUGUCUUACUGAACAGAAGGAAAAUGUGGCUGGUUAUAAAGAGGUAUUUGAAAGAGAAAAGGGAAUUCUCCGUGGUCUCCUUUGUGAUACACUAAAACAAAGAGAAGAUAUGGACAACCGUUGGAAGCAAACAAUCAACUGGGAAAAAGAAAAAGUUACUUCUCUUGAAGCAACCCUGAAAAAAGAAAAGCAGGAUCUGGAAGUAGAGAAACAAAAGAUGUUGAAAGACAAACUGGUCCUAGAGCUGAUUAGGAAUGGCAUCCAGAAACAAAGUGAAAUAUUACAGCAAGACAAGCAAGACAUUCAACAACAUAAGCAAGAGUUGGAAAGCACAAUGGUGGAACUGCACAAGAAGACAGAAGAAACCAAGAAUCUCUUUGAUGGAGUCAACAAAGAGAAAUCUAAGCUCAAAGGUCUUAACCUCAGUCUGAAAACACAAGGCGAUCAACUGAAGGCUCUCAUGAAAGCAAUCAGUUCAAAACCGCAAGAACAAGAAGAAAAAGGCCCAGAAAUUCUCACACAAACACAAAAUCUGGAACUCUGUCGGAAGAAAUUACAGGAGAAAAGACAAGAGCUGGAGGCUUGGAUGAAGAAUGCUAACAGCAUGAAGGAAAAGGUUAAAGAUUCCAGGAGCAGUGUCCAUAAAGACAUAGAACAAAUCAUUUCCAUGAAGAAGAACAUUGGAAAAGACAGAGAGAAACUGUCAAGUGAGAAGGAGCGCCUGGAAAGAGAAUUGUCAGAGUGCAAAAUGAGACAAGAUGAACUCUUGGAUGUAAUGAAGCCAACAGCAAACCUAAGACUAAGACUUGAAGGAGUAAAGGACAAAGCGUGUGACUUGACCAAUGUUAAAAUGAGAAGAUUACACAAAGGUCAUAAAGACACACAGUUAUUAUGUAUUUCAGUGGAGAAAAGUCUUCGUCUAUUGGUGACCAGAUGAAAACACUAACUCCUUACAAAGAGGUAGUUGAAAGAGAAAAGGUCAAUCUAACAUCCAUCAUUUCUUCCUUGAGGAAUCAGAGAGAAGUGAUGGGACAUCAAUGGAAACAAAUGGUGGACAGGGAUAUAAAAGAUCUAAACAAAACGAAGGAAGAACUGAAACGGGAAACACACAAUCUGGAAAGAGCGGCUGACAAAGUAGACAAAGAAAAAGAGGCCUUGGAAGUGUUGAUGUCCAAUAUCCAGACAGAGCGUGUAAUACUGCAACAAGAAAAACAAGAUAUUCAAGAAGAAAGUGAGAAUAAACAUCACAAAGGCUGAACUAGACCAGAAGGCAGAAGAAGCCAGCAGUUGCUUGGCAGAGAUCGACAAAGAGAAACUCAAACUUAGACAUUUGUGGUUUCAGUCCAAAGAAAUCAUGAAAGACUCCAUGACAUCAUGAACACGACUGCCCUAAAACGACAAGGCAGAGAACGGAAAGAUCACCUGUUCCAAACGCAAGCACAGGAACUACAAUCUAAAAGACUUCUACUACAGAAAGAAAAGGAAGAGAUGCAACGUUUGAUGACAACUGUUAGUCAGAUGAGAGAGUGGAUUAAAGCUGCAAUGAUCACCACCCAAAAGGAAAAGCAACAAGUGGAUUAUAUGAGGACGCACAAGCCAGAAGAAGAAAUGCUUUCAAUACAGAAUAUAGAACUUGAGAGAGAGAGGCCUGGGUUGACACCAAGUGGCUUGGAUAAAAGUCAAAUAACAGAACGUCACCAAGGACAGAUCCAAUACAUAAAAGAGAAACUAAGUGAAAACAUUCAAGUGAAAAUGGCCCGGAUACAACAAAGGAUUGCAGGUGUAGAAAACCUCUCUGUUGGUUUGGGACAGAAGCUUCUUUGUCUUACUGAACAGAAGGAAAAUGUGGCUGGUUAUAAAGAGGUAUUUGAAAGAGAAAAGGGAAUUCUCAGUGGUCUCCUUUGUGAUACACUAAAACAAAGAGAAGAUAUGGACAACCGUUGGAAGCAAACAAUCAACUGGGAAAAAGAAAAAGUUACUUCUCUUGAAGCAACCCUGAAAAAAGAAAAGCAGGAUCUGGAAGUAGAGAAACAAAAGAUGUUGAAAGACAAACUGGUCCUAGAGCUGAUUAGGAAUGGCAUCCAGAAACAAAGUGAAAUAUUACAGCAAGACAAGCAAGACAUUCAACAACAUAAGCAAGAGUUGGAAAGCACAAUGGUGGAACUGCACAAGAAGACAGAAGAAACCAAGAAUCUCUUUGAUGGAGUCAACAAAGAGAAAUCUAAGCUCAAAGGUCUUAACCUCAGUCUGAAAACACAAGGCGAUCAACUGAAGGCUCUCAUGAAAGCAAUCAGUUCAAAACCGCAAGAACAAGAAGAAAAAGGCCCAGAAAUUCUCACACAAACACAAAAUCUGGAACUCUGUAGGAAGAAAUUACAGGAGAAAAGACAAGAGCUGGAGGCUUGGAUGAAGAAUGCUAACAGCAUGAAGGAAAAGGUUAAAGAUUCCAGGAGCAGUGUCCAUAAAGACAUAGAACAAAUCAUUUCCAUGAAGAAGAACAUUGGAAAAGACAGAGAGAAACUGUCAAGUGAGAAGGAGCGCCUGGAAAGAGAAUUGUCAGAGUGCAAAAUGAGACAAGAUGAACUCUUGGAUGUAAUGAAGCCAACAGCAAACCUAAGACUAAGACUUGAAGGAGUAAAGGACAAAGCGUGUGACUUGACCAAUGUUAAAAUGAGAAGAUUACACAAAGGUCAUAAAGACACACAGUUAUUAUGUAUUUCAGUGGAGAAAAGUCUUUCGUCUAUUGGUGACCAGAUGAAAACACUAACUCCUUACAAAGAGGUAGUUGAAAGAGAAAAGGUCAAUCUAACAUCCAUCAUUUCUUCCUUGAGGAAUCAGAGAGAAGUGAUGGGACAUCAAUGGAAACAAAUGGUGGACAGGGAUAUAAAAGAUCUAAACAAAACGAAGGAAGAACUGAAACGGGAAACACACAAUCUGGAAAGAGCGGCUGACAAAGUAGACAAAGAAAAAGAGGCCUUGGAAGUGUUGAUGUCCAAUAUCCAGACAGAGCGUGUAAUACUGCAACAAGAAAAACAAGAUAUUCAAGAAGAAAGAGAGAGAAUAAACAUCACAAAGGCUGAACUAGACCAGAAGGCAGAAGAAGCCAGCAGUUGCUUGGCAGAGAUCGACAAAGAGAAACUCAAACUUAGACAUUUGUCGGUUUCAGUCCAAAGAAAUCAUGAAAGACUCCAUGACAUCAUGAACACGACUGCCCUAAAACAAGGCAGAGAACGGAAAGAUCACCUGUUCCAAACGCAAGCACAGGAACUACAAUCUAAAAGACUUCUACUACAGAAAGAAAUGGAAGAGAUGCAACGUUUGAUGACAACUGUUAGUCAGAUGAGAGACUGGAUUAAAGCUGCAAUGAUCACCACCCAAAAGGAAAAGCAACAAGUGGAUUAUAUGAGGACGCACAAGCCAGAAGAAGAAAUGCUUUCAAUACAGAAUAUAGAACUUGAGAGUGAGGCCGGGGUGGACACCAAGUGGCUUGGAUAAAAGUCAAAUAACAGAACGUCACCAAGGACAGAUCCAAUACAUAAAAGAGAAACUAAGUGAAAACAUUCAAGUGAAAAUGGCCCGGAUACAACAAAGGAUUGCAGGUGUAGAAAACCUCUCUGUUGGUUUGGCACAGAAGCUUCUUUGUCUUACUGAACAGAAGGAAAAUGUGGCUGGUUAUAAAGAGGUAUUUGAAAGAGAAAAGGGAAUUCUCCGUGGUCUCCUUUGUGAUACACUAAAACAAAGAGAAGAUAUGGACAACCGUUGGAAGCAAACAAUCAACUGGGAAAAAGAAAAAGUUACUUCUCUUGAAGCAACCCUGAAAAAAGAAAAGCAGGAUCUGGAAGUAGAGAAACAAAAGAUGUUGAAAGACAAACUGGUCCUAGAGCUGAUUAGGAAUGGCAUCCAGAAACAAAGUGAAAUAUUACAGCAAGACAAGCAAGACAUUCAACAACAUAAGCAAGAGUUGGAAAGCACAAUGGUGGAACUGCACAAGAAGACAGAAGAAACCAAGAAUCUCUUUGAUGGAGUCAACAAAGAGAAAUCUAAGCUCAAAGGUCUUAACCUCAGUCUGAAAACACAAAGGCGAUCAACUGAAGGCUCUCAUGAAAGCAAUCAGUUCAAAACCGCAAGAACAAGAAGAAAAAGGCCCAGAAAUUCUCACACAAACACAAAAUCUGGAACUCUGUCGGAAGAAAUUACAGGAGAAAAGACAAGAGCUGGAGGCUUGGAUGAAGAAUGCUAACAGCAUGAAGGAAAAGGUUAAAGAUUCCAGGAGCAGUGUCCAUAAAGACAUAGAACAAAUCAUUUCCAUGAAGAAGAACAUUGGAAAAGACAGAGAGAAACUGUCAAGUGAGAAGGAGCGCCUGGAAAGAGAAUUGUCAGAGUGCAAAAUGAGACAAGAUGAACUCUUGGAUGUAAUGAAGCCAACAGCAAACCUAAGACUAAGACUUGAAGGAGUAAAGGACAAAGCGUGUGACUUGACCAAUGUUAAAAUGAGAAGAUUACACAAAGGUCAUAAAGACACACAGUUAUUAUGUAUUUCAGUGGAGAAAAGUCUUUCGUCUAUUGGUGACCAGAUGAAAACACUAACUCCUUACAAAGAGGUAGUUGAAAGAGAAAAGGUCAAUCUAACAUCCAUCAUUUCUUCCUUGAGGAAUCAGAGAGAAGUGAUGGGACAUCAAUGGAAACAAAUGGUGGACAGGGAUAUAAAAGAUCUAAACAAAACGAAGGAAGAACUGAAAGCGGAAACACACAAUCUGGAAAGAGCGGCUGACAAAGUAGACAAAGAAAAAGAGGCCUUGGAAGUGUUGAUGUCCAAUAUCCAGACAGAGCGUGUAAUACUGCAACAAGAAAAACAAGAUAUUCAAGAAGAAAGAGAGAGAAUAAACAUCACAAAGGCUGAACUAGACCAGAAGGCAGAAGAAGCCAGCAGUUGCUUGGCAGAGAUCGACAAAGAGAAACUCAAACUUAGACAUUUGUCGGUUUCAGUCCAAAGAAAUCAUGAAAGACUCCAUGACAUCAUGAACACGACUGCCCUAAAAGCGACAAGGCAGAGAACGGAAAGAUCACCUGUUCCAAACGCAAGCACAGGAACUACAAUCUAAAAGACUUCUACUACAGAAAGAAAAGGAAGAGAUGCAACGUUUGAUGACAACUGUUAGUCAGAUGAGAGACUGGAUUAAAGCUGCAAUGAUCACCACCCAAAAGGAAAAGCAACAAGUGGAUUAUAUGAGGACGCACAAGCCAGAAGAAGAAAUGCUUUCAAUACAGAAUAUAGAACUUGAGAGAGAGAGGCCUGGGUUGACACCAAGUGGCUUGGAUAAAAGUCAAAUAACAGAACGUCACCAAGGACAGAUCCAAUACAUAAAAGAGAAACUAAGUGAAAACAUUCAAGUGAAAAUGGCCCGGAUACAACAAAGGAUUGCAGGUGUAGAAAACCUCUCUGUUGGUUUGGGACAGAAGCUUCUUUGUCUUACUGAACAGAAGGAAAAUGUGGCUGGUUAUAAAGAGGUAUUUGAAAGAGAAAAGGGAAUUCUCAAUGGUCUCCUUUGUGAUACACUAAAACAAAGAGAAGAUAUGGACAACCGUUGGAAGCAAACAAUCAACUGGGAAAAAGAAAAGUUACUUCUCUUGAAGCAACCCUGA
Molecule: RNA transcript, 14269 nt
Organism: Gambusia affinis (western mosquitofish)
Lineage: Eukaryota; Metazoa; Chordata; Actinopteri; Cyprinodontiformes; Poeciliidae
Gene name: golgin subfamily A member 6-like protein 22
Exons: 5
Source: RefSeq, a predicted model, not a curated record